GGGGACGUAGCUCAACGGUAGAGCACAAAGCAUCCAACUUUGACAGCCUUGUCCAGGCUCUGGAACUCGGGCCCGCGGCUUGACCGACUGGCCCACCCUCUCGAGCGUACACGCGUAGAUGCAGGUUCGACUCCUGCCGUCCCCU
RNAcentral lists this transfer RNA (145 nucleotides) under Myxococcales bacterium. RNAcentral's name for it is "tRNA-OTHER". It matches the Rfam family "tRNA". From Rfam's summary of the family: Transfer RNA (tRNA) molecules are approximately 80 nucleotides in length. Their secondary structure includes four short double-helical elements and three loops (D, anti-codon, and T loops). Further hydrogen bonds mediate the characteristic L-shaped molecular structure. tRNAs have two regions of fundamental functional importance: the anti-codon, which is responsible for specific mRNA codon recognition, and the 3' end, to which the tRNAs corresponding amino acid is attached (by aminoacyl-tRNA synthetases). tRNAs cope with the degeneracy of the genetic code in two manners: having more than one tRNA (with a specific anti-codon) for a particular amino acid; and 'wobble' base-pairing, i.e. permitting non-standard base-pairing at the 3rd anti-codon position. The record is from RNAcentral. Lineage: Bacteria; Pseudomonadati; Myxococcota; Myxococcia; Myxococcales.